GGUCAAGAAUAACAAUAGCUGUGGACAUAGCUGCUGCAUUGGAGUAUCUUCAUAAUCAAUGCACUCCUCCUUUGGUUCAUUGUGAUCUGAAACCAAGCAAUGUCCUUUUGAAUGAUGAAAUGGUGGCAUGUCUUAGUGACUUUGGGCUUGCAAAGUUUCUUUACAGUGACUCUUCAACAACAUUUAGUGACUCAUCAAGCAUAGUAGGACCAAGAGGGUCAGUCGGAUACAUUGCACCAGGUGAGUGUCUUAUUCUUAUAUUCUUCGCAUCUCAUGUAUCAUAUUAUUUACCACCUAAACAAUUUAGUCACGCUUCAAUCAAUUAAAAUAGAGUUCUUAGCAUUUUUUUCUUAAUAUUGCAGAGUAUGGCAUGGGGUGCAAAAUCUCAGUUGAGUCUGAUGUGUAUAGCUAUGGAGUUAUUCUUCUAGAGAUGAUCACAGGAAAGCAUCCGACUGAUGAGAUGUUUAAGGAUAGUAUGAAUCUUCACAAGUUUGUGGAAGCAGCACUGCCACAAAAAAUUGGUGAUGUCUGCGAUCCCAGGCUCAACACAUAUGAUGAAUUUCAAGGAGAAAAUCAUGAAAUGGUCCAAGAACAACAUUUUGUUAUACAGCUGGCUCAAGUUGGUCUAAAGUGCUCUGAGGCAUCACCGAAGGAUCGACCGACAAUGGAGACUGUUUAUGCAGAACUUGUCACCACCAAAGAGAAGUAUCAGUGUUCACAUUUGACGAAAUAGAUAAACAUUGUUGUAACUCACUUCUACUACAGUAAUGGGGUUGCAAGAUGCAGCCUCUACAUGUCUUUGUUUUAGAACGAUCUUAUUAUCUUAUUUAACUUCCAACAGUAAUAAGAAAUUUGUAUUCGAUACAUUUUCUGUAAAGACUAAACGGGGGGCACAUGGAACUACGAAUAAAGGGUCCCUGUGAAAUAUAAGAUUAUCCUAUUCUAGUGCCAUUGCCAAGUUCUCAGGCACUGCGAGUUGGCUGGAGACCCCCCCUCCCGCUAUUGUACCCUUUCUCAUCCGGGAUGUAAACCUUUUUGCUAGUUAAUGAAAGGAGUUUUUAUGGUUAAAAAAAAACAUCUAUACUAUAAUUUGUAAAUGCAUUUGAGUUGGCCUAUUUUUUUUAACAAAAUCCUUAACUGAAAUUCAUAACAUUGGGUAAUUAUCAUCGUUGUAAAAAAAUCCCAGUAACUACUGGAUGUUCGGCUAGAUUAAAUUUCCUAAUAGCCCUAGACUUACCAUUUACAAAAAUCUUAUUCUACGAACUAUCCCCGAAUAUAUCCAAUUAAUCUCCCAAAUCGUUGCAACUCUCGGGAUCUUCAGUUCACUUACCAACAAAAUUGCCCCUCCACCGGUCUCGCCGUCCCGGGCUCUGCCUCGCCGCCGCGAGGCCCUUCCACCACCGGCUGCGCCCUCAGCCGCCGUCGCCGGUCUGCAGCUCCCGGCUGUGGCCGUGCUCCUCCCCCGCUCGUCCUCGUGGCCGCCCCACCAUGGAGAUCCCUGCGCGGCUCCUCCUCGUUCGUCGUCGUGGUCGGAUCUGCGCCACCGCGGCUCCUAUCUGCCGGGCGACCGUGAUCCUCCGUGCGCGCCGUCGUGCCGCCGCCCUCGACCGGGCCGAGCCCGCCUGUGCCUUCGGCCGACCCCACCCGCCCGCCAUGGCCUCGGCUUGGCUUGCCCCCAAUUGUUGGGGAAAAAGAUGAGAGGAUAAAAUUACUCGCCCAAAAAAAAGAUAAAAUUGGCCCACUGACAAGUGGGUCCCAAUUGUCAGUGUAAUAAGAGAAAAUAAAUAGGGACCGAGAUAUAAGGGCUAGUGUUGAAGAGAAAGAUGAAAUAGGAGAUAAUUUUUUUAGGGAGAAACCUCUAAACAGGAUUUAGGACUUUGUUUUAGGUGCUACUGCUGAAAAUGCUCUUAUAUAUCUACGAUGAAUAUAACGGUUCAUUAUUUUUUCAUUGGCUUGUACCUUUGAUGAUUCUCUUGCUCCCGCUCUCACGAUGGAUUUAUCUGAUAUGUGAGCGAGAGUGAGCAAGUAAGCAAGCAGAGAGAAACCAUUUCCGGCCGGUCUGUGUUUUGCUAGUCCUAACUUGGGUUGUCUUGUGCGUGGGCAUGGUCGGUGGCGGACUGUUGAGGCUGUCGAGCGGUUCGGUUCGUGCAGAACGACGAGGAGGUGACGGUGCACAACAUUCGCAAGAAGGCAUUGCCCGCAUCAUCCCAGCAGACCUCCCAGGUACAAUACGACGAUCCAAUUCCGUCCACGCUCACAACAUAUGCCGAUGAAUUAUUUAUCGAUUCAAUUACAUCAUGUAUUUGUGCGUGCAGGCAACGAGGCGCACGGGGAAAAGUUCUUCUUCAGCCGGGCGGUGCCGCGGUGCGGGCGCAGGCCCCGUGGGGUGGCACCCGGCGUGUGGAAGGCGUCCGGGAACGAGGAGGUCGUGGUCGUCUCGCCGCAGCUCGUGCCCAUGGCCCUAAAGCAGACACUAGUUUUCUUCUCCGUCGACGGCGGCGGCGCUGCCGCCGCGCGCACCCAAUGGGCCAUGAACGAGUACGGCCCCACCCCGCCAUGGCCACCGCAGCAGCCUACAACGGCAAGGCUGUGGAGGAGUGGGUUGUCUGCCGCGUGUUCCAGAAGGCCACGUGAGCUCAACGCAGGCGCGGACUAUCGUCCCCGGUCUCGUCCUGCGUGACCGAGGAAUCAGGAGAUGACAAUGAAGAAGAAGAGAUGGCUAGUUCUAACUAGCCGAGGAUUUUUCUUUUUCUAAUCCGUCUUUCUUUCCUUAGAUCGUUAGUUGUGCAGCCAAUGUUGUUCGAUCUGGUAGCUCUAGGUAGGAAUAAGAUCCCCAAUGCAUGGGAACGCAGCAAGAGAUUGAUUGAGCUUUGUAGAACAAAACAUGAAACAUCAAUUCUGCGAUCUCUGUCUUGUGGCAGCCAAUAAUUAAGUAUGAGGAGAGAUCUCCAAGUUGAUUGGUUCAUGUUUUGUUGUACAAAGCUCGACCGAUCGUUUGCUGGGUUCCCUUGCAUGCACUAGCAAGGAAUCUUAUUCCUAGCUACAGCUACUAGAACCACAUUGGCAGCGUGCGAACGAUCUAAGAAAGAAACACGGAUUAGAAAAUUCUCUCCUGGCUAGUUAGAACUAGCGAUCUUUUCUUCUUUGUCAUAAUCUCCUAAUUCCUCGGUUACGUAGAACGACGUCGGGACCAACUUUCCGCUCAUAUCCGGCGGGUUUCCGCCGUGGCAUUGAGCGCACGUGGCCUUCUAGAACACGCGGCAGACCACCUAGUCCCCCACAGCUUUGCCGAUGUUGGCUGCGGGUCUACAGCGGCCAGCUGGUGGGGUGGAUGCGGUCCUCGUGCAUGGCACGCUGGAUGCAUGCGCCGCCAAUUGGCGGCGAAGAAGAAGACGACCGUCUACUUGAGGGCCAUGGGCAUGCGCCGUGGGGAGACGACCAUAAGCUCCUCCUUUUCGGACACCCUCCAUACGUCGGUGGCACCGGGUACCACCCUGUGGACCCUUCCCUCGCACUUAGUCACAGGCCGGUUGAAGAAGAACCUAUCUCCGUGUGCCUCGUUACAUGAACGCACACAUACAUAAUCCCGUCGAUAUAUAAUUAAUUCAUCGAUAUUGCGAGUUUGGAGAUGCAAUGGAUCAUGGAUGGCGGUAGGGUUGGUUCGUACUUUGGAGGUCUGACGGAUGUAGGGUUGCAAGUGGGAGCCUACUUAAAUCACACUUCUAGUUUAUUUGAGAUUUGCUAGUUCAAAAUCUUGACUCAAAAUUUGAACUAAAAUUGAAAGAUUGAACUACAAGUGGGACUUAAGUGGGCUCCCACUUGCAACCCUAGACAGAUGGAGGCGAGCAAGGUCAGAGAGUGGGUUGAUGUCGGACAUGAGCUGGAAGGACAAUUUCUUCUUGUGAGAGUGGUGCACCGUCGGCUCCUCCUCGUACGAUAGGAAUCGGAACCAACUAGGCAGCCCCAACACUCCGUCACCAGCCUAUUGCAUUGUCAUGCCCAUGCACAAAACAACCCAACCUAAAACUAGCAAAACACACACUCACUCACACAUACGAACUACGUCCGGUGUCGGUGUUUGCGUCACGAAAUGGUUUGUUGGCUACUGCUCGCUUGCUCACUCACUCACAUGUCAGAUAAAUCUCUAGAGAUAGAUAGAUAGGGGGGGGGGGGGAGUGUGCGGUGGCGCAUAGGAGACUCAACCAUCAUGUCUGGAAUGUUCUCGAUUCUGAAGAGAUAUCCAGGACAUACAGAGAGAGCGUCACAUGCUUAGUUACCCAUCUCACAAACAAACAGAAUUACGAAUUCUGUAUGUAUGAUAUUCACAAUUUAGAUCUAAUAUAAUCCAUAAAUAAGAGAAAAAAACUUGAGAAGUAAAGCGAAAUUCAUAUCUUAAAUCUGGGAAAAAGAUCACAAACCUUCCAUUUUUAGAUCCGCAACUUUCCAUGAACAAACACCACAAAAAUAAUCCAGAACCACCAACAAUUACCUGUGGAUUUGGAUAUGGCAGUUGUUAUGGACUUGGUGGUCAAUUGGGUUUCUUCCAACACAAGACAAUCGAUUCUCUUUGUGAAAAAAAAAGAAUAAUUGAAUUUUGUACCUGAUUGCCAUGUUGGAGAUAAGGAGAGGAGUCUACCCGAGGUCGAAGAAGAGGAGUGUCUUCCCCAUGCUCUUCAAUUGAACCAGCUGGCGGCAGGCGCUGGCGUUGUAUCUCGAGGAGCGGUGGUUACUGGUAGAAGCUGGUGGAGCGGUCGGACCAAAAUACAAUAAUCAUGACCCAAGAAACAUAUUGGUUGAAACAUUGUUGCGGAUAUCCCCAUUGCAAGUAAGCUAGCUCACAUGCAAAGCGAAAUCCAAGCCAAGCUAAUACAGAAGACAACACCUAAACAUCAUUUUAAAUGGAACUACGAGAUACCCCACAUCACAGCACAUAAAAGCACCCAGAAUACCAUGGAUGUAUCAAGUAAGAGUUCUGAGUUCUGACCUGGUAGGAAGGUAAAUCAUACUACUGGGGAAACUAACAAUUAAGAUAAACAUACCUUUCCAGGGGUAAAUCAUACUCUUGGGCCCAGCCGCGUUUUGCGCAUUGAUGUAGGGGAGCUGGUCGACUGGUGACGUGGUCCUGCAGCAGGAGCUCGUAUAGUGGUGGGACGUGAUGGCAGCCUUUGCCUUCUCCUCGUCCAUGCCCUGCCCGCUCAGGGAGAAGGUAGGGUUCGAUGACGAGGUGGUGGGAUCCAGAGGGAGGAUAGGAGUUGUCGUAAGAGGGAGAAGGGGCAGAUCUGGAGGAGAGGCAGGGGCAAGGAGGAGUUGGGGGCGGCCAGAUUGGGCAAGGGAGGCUGGUAGGAGACCGGGGCGAGCAGCAGAGGAGGACGGAGCAGACUAGGGGAGGAAGGCAGGGCAACACGGAUCAGGGGAGGAACG
This 5421-nucleotide long non-coding RNA is filed under the name Brachypodium distachyon (stiff brome). RNAcentral describes it as "long non-coding RNA (BDIS_LNC004429)". The record is from RNAcentral. Lineage: Eukaryota; Viridiplantae; Streptophyta; Magnoliopsida; Poales; Poaceae.